Molecule: ribosomal RNA, 1020 nt
Filed under: Triticum aestivum (bread wheat)
Lineage: Eukaryota; Viridiplantae; Streptophyta; Magnoliopsida; Poales; Poaceae
Description: partial small subunit ribosomal RNA
Source: RNAcentral
AUGGGCCAUGGUGUGGCACCUAGAACAAAACAUGAUUAUGGCACCAUAGACUACUGGGGUGCGCUGGCAAAUACGGAGAAUAUAUCACAAUUCAACUGGUGUGAGUUUGUACUUGACUUUUUGCUAGAGGCAGUCCGGCGGCUUAAGAACGAUAUGAUGGCCAACAAUUUGAACACCAAUCUUGUUGGUUGCCACUUGUUUUUACAGAUAUUCUUCCUCGACAAUGUUGACCUUGGAAUUUUCAAUAAUAACCAUAAUGUCCUUCCUCACAUUAGUGACUUCGACCAAAGCAGCAUGAAGAACAUGAUAACAAUGGCGACUCACAUUGGGAAGGGCCCCACAUCCUACUCGAAAUGCAUGAUUCGUCAAGGUAAUGAUCUAUGCUACGCUCGUUGCAACAUUGCUGAUUCCACUGAGAGAACAUCCAACCAGCCAGUUGAUGGCGGCAAUAUGGAGGAAGAUGUUGGCAAGUUCAACAAUGACAGGAACGAUUCAGCUCAUGUAGCAUCUUCAGCUGUCGGGAACCUAAUGGAUGUUCAGACACCACUGCGUAUGCUUGGACCAAUGGACUUUAUAGAGCACAUGCAGAGCCGAUACCCCAGUCUGGUUAGGGAUGAGUUGAGUUUUAUAUUGAAGGAGCAGAAUGCCAAAUGCCAGCGUGAAAUCAACACCGCCCGCGCAAAUAUGCAGGCAGACAUGAUCAAAUUUGUGGACAAACUAAUGGCAUCAAUCAGCAAGAGGUGCAUCUGCUGUACUGCUAGAGGUUUUACUAACUGUCUGACAAGAGCAGUAGAUACAUUUCUAGUUGACACACUGAGGACUCCGGUCGGCCAGAAAAUACCAGGUGUCAGGCUCGAUAUGUCUGCUUGCAAAGAUGGCAACUCUGAACCGAGGUUCCAUGGUGAUGACCAGUCAGACCGUCAGCAGAACAAGAGGUUGCGACAUGAGGAAGGAGCACUCGCAACAAUGACAUCUCAGAUUUUUUCAGUUUGCAAGGCAGACACUGCAAGCUAUCAGUGA